GCCCGGGUGGCUCAGUCGGUUAAGCGUCCGACUUCAGCUCAGGUCAUGAUCUUGUGGUUUGUGGGUUCAAGCCCCGCAUCGGGCU
RNAcentral lists this transfer RNA (85 nucleotides) under Felis catus (domestic cat). It matches the Rfam family "tRNA". Rfam says of the family: Transfer RNA (tRNA) molecules are approximately 80 nucleotides in length. Their secondary structure includes four short double-helical elements and three loops (D, anti-codon, and T loops). Further hydrogen bonds mediate the characteristic L-shaped molecular structure. tRNAs have two regions of fundamental functional importance: the anti-codon, which is responsible for specific mRNA codon recognition, and the 3' end, to which the tRNAs corresponding amino acid is attached (by aminoacyl-tRNA synthetases). tRNAs cope with the degeneracy of the genetic code in two manners: having more than one tRNA (with a specific anti-codon) for a particular amino acid; and 'wobble' base-pairing, i.e. permitting non-standard base-pairing at the 3rd anti-codon position. The record is from Rfam by way of RNAcentral. Lineage: Eukaryota; Metazoa; Chordata; Mammalia; Carnivora; Felidae.